CAUGCAAACUGCCGGUGCCGCUCCCAGGUGUUCCCGUCAGGACAGGUGGCCUCCUCCACCGGAUGCCCACGGGCGAUACAAUCCUGCUGGCGGCCACAGCGCGGACGACUGCCAGGCGCAGUACUACAGAAAUCCAACCCCAAACGCUCGCUCCCUUGAGUCUCAACGCACAAACUACGGAGCACAGGUCUCGGGGCAGAGAAUGGCUGCGGAGAAGUUAUACAAGUUUCCACCGAGCCAGUGGGGGCUCCCGAGAAGAAUAUGAAUACACGUUCCACACUUUGCAAGCCAGAGACUGCAUCCUAGAGGAAUGAGUCACUUCUACAUUAAUCCAACCUAAUCCUUCAGCCUGUGGUGACACGACAGAACAGUGAGUGAACGAGAUCCUACAGGAACACGGAUGGUAUUAAGCAUCUACGUAUCUGCCAGGCAGAGAGAGCCAUGUUGGGCACCUCUCUGAGCUUCAUUUUCCCACAAGGCAGGAAUGCCUGCUGUUUGUGAAACCUGCUGCUGCCUUUUGAAAUAUUGACACCAUCCCAUCACUGCUCCACUGCCUUCUGGGACUCAGAGCCUGGGUGGAGCUGAAGCAGAGGCAACAGGGACUACUGUCCCUUUCCCUGGAGAAUGACAGUCACCAACUCGUGAUCUUCGUGACCCAGGAAAGGGGAGUGAAGACUCUGUGCAUACCCAGUUCAGCAGCUCGAUCUUCCGGGGGUAUUGCAUUCAUGAGAUGAAAACAGGCUGGCAUGAAAAUGGAACCAUCAAGAAGAAACCCUAAAGACGCCUGGGUGACUCAUCAGAUGAGUGCCUGCCUUUGGCCCAGGGCAUGAUCCUGGAGUUCCAGGAUGGAGUCCCACAUCGGGCUCCCUGUGUGGAGCCUGCUUCUCUCACUGCUUCUCUCUCUGCCUAUGUCUCUGCCUCUCUCUCUCUUUCUCUCUGUGUCUCUCAUGAAUAAAUAAAAUAUUUUUUAAAAAAGAAGAAAGCCUAGAGUCGUUUAUGACACAUACUCACACCUGCACUGCUCGACAACCAUAUCACACACAUGAACAUCCUUUUACACAUUACACAUAGCACACACACAGAGAUACCACAGAUAUAUACCACACACACACACAUUGAACCGUACACGUAUGUCACACACCACACCACACAACAUAACAUAUACCCACACACAUGCUACACACAGACACAUACACCCCAUGUCCCAAAGACCAUACACACACACACACACACACACACACACACACACAGAAUUCUCUAGGCCUCCAGGGUGCCAUGGAACUGAAUUUUUUUAAAAAAAUGCUAUCAAUGCAAUCAUUGUAUUUAAUUUUAAUGGGCAUUUUCUUUCUUCUUUUUCUUGAAAAGGGUAAAUCCCACUUUCCACUGGCAAAGAUAAAAUAUUUGCUGGUAAAAAAAAUACAUUUGCUGGUUAUUUCUUCAAGAACACUGGUUUGAAUCUGUAAUUACUGCUAGUAGCUCUUCUUGCUGGUUCUUUGAAGUUAAAUGGUGACAUCUGCUAAUAAUCCUAAUGGAUUGCAUAUUGGAUCAUCAGAAACCCCAGGUAAUUUCCUAAGAUCUGUGUCAUGAGGGAGAACAUACUAAU
Long non-coding RNA from Nyctereutes procyonoides (raccoon dog), 1603 nucleotides. RefSeq lists it as uncharacterized. Lineage: Eukaryota; Metazoa; Chordata; Mammalia; Carnivora; Canidae. The record is from RefSeq and is a predicted model, not a curated record. The transcript has 4 exons.